GCUUGCUUCUCUGAUGUUAGCGGCGGACGGGUGAGUAACACGUGGAUAACCUACCUAUAAGACUGGGAUAACUUCGGGAAACCGGAGCUAAUACCGGAUAAUAUUUUGAACCGCAUGGUUCAAAAGUGAAAGACGGUCUUGCUGUCACUUAUAGAUGGAUCCGCGCUGCAUUAGCUAGUUGGUAAGGUAACGGCUUACCAAGGCAACGAUGCAUAGCCGACCUGAGAGGGUGAUCGGCCACACUGGAACUGAGACACGGUCCAGACUCCUACGGGAGGCAGCAGUAGGGAAUCUUCCGCAAUGGGCGAAAGCCUGACGGAGCAACGCCGCGUGAGUGAUGAAGGUCUUCGGAUCGUAAAACUCUGUUAUUAGGGAAGAACAUAUGUGUAAGUAACUGUGCACAUCUUGACGGUACCUAAUCAGAAAGCCACGGCUAACUACGUGCCAGCAGCCGCGGUAAUACGUAGGUGGCAAGCGUUAUCCGGAAUUAUUGGGCGUAAAGCGCGCGUAGGCGGUUUUUUAAGUCUGAUGUGAAAGCCCACGGCUCAACCGUGGAGGGUCAUUGGAAACUGGAAAACUUGAGUGCAGAAGAGGAAAGUGGAAUUCCAUGUGUAGCGGUGAAAUGCGCAGAGAUAUGGAGGAACACCAGUGGCGAAGGCGACUUUCUGGUCUGUAACUGACGCUGAUGUGCGAAAGCGUGGGGAUCAAACAGGAUUAGAUACCCUGGUAGUCCACGCCGUAAACGAUGAGUGCUAAGUGUUAGGGGGUUUCCGCCCCUUAGUGCUGCAGCUAACGCAUUAAGCACUCCGCCUGGGGAGUACGACCGCAAGGUUGAAACUCAAAGGAAUUGACGGGGACCCGCACAAGCGGUGGAGCAUGUGGUUUAAUUCGAAGCAACGCGAAGAACCUUACCAAAUCUUGACAUCCUUUGACAACUCUAGAGAUAGAGCUUUCCCCUUCGGGGGACAAAGUGACAGGUGGUGCAUGGUUGUCGUCAGCUCGUGUCGUGAGAUGUUGGGUUAAGUCCCGCAACGAGCGCAACCCUUAAGCUUAGUUGCCAUCAUUAAGUUGGGCACUCUAAGUUGACUGCCGGUGACAAACCGGAGGAAGGUGGGGAUGACGUCAAAUCAUCAUGCCCCUUAUGAUUUGGGCUACACACGUGCUACAAUGGACAAUACAAAGGGCAGCGAAACCGCGAGGUCAAGCAAAUCCCAUAAAGUUGUUCUCAGUUCGGAUUGUAGUCUGCAACUCGACUACAUGAAGCUGGAAUCGCUAGUAAUCGUAGAUCAGCAUGCUACGGUGAAUACGUUCCCGGGUCUUGUACACACCGCCCGUCACACCACGAGAGUUUGUAACACCCGAAGCCGGUGGAGUAAC
This 1377-nucleotide ribosomal RNA is filed under the name Staphylococcus aureus. Its description in RNAcentral is "bacterial SSU rRNA". It matches the Rfam family "Bacterial small subunit ribosomal RNA", at positions 78 to 1439 of the family's 1533-position model. The record is from RNAcentral. Lineage: Bacteria; Bacillati; Bacillota; Bacilli; Caryophanales; Staphylococcaceae.